This 737-nucleotide long non-coding RNA is filed under the name Manihot esculenta (cassava). RNAcentral describes it as "long non-coding RNA (MESC_LNC008432)". The record is from RNAcentral. Lineage: Eukaryota; Viridiplantae; Streptophyta; Magnoliopsida; Malpighiales; Euphorbiaceae.
UGGUCAAGCACAACUCUAAACUUCCAUAAGCAUCAAUACAUUACAUUUCUAUAUUAUACUUUUACAUUACAUCAUAUUCAUGUCCACAGCUAACUAUUACAUAAAACAUGACUCUACUCCUGCUGACCUCCUGGUCUACCCUGUACCUGCAAACCUGGGGGUUAAGGGAGAGGGGUGAGCUAUAAAGCUCAGUGAGCAGAAUAAAUAAACAUUCAAUUUAAAUUUCAUGCUUUCAUGAAAUGCAACACAUCACAAACAAAUCACAUCAAGGAUGGAUUUGUCACCAAUAGUCCUCUACAUAGUCCAAUCGUGCUAGGGGCGUAGAAUGGGUCUCACUAGUCUUUCUCUUAACAUAACAUAACAUAGCAUAACAUUCCAUAGUGCUAGGGGCGUAGAAUGGGCCUCACUGGUCUUUCUCUUAACAUAGUGCCAGGGGCGUAGAAUGGGCCUUACUGGUCUUCCAUACCGUAUCAUUAUCAUAUCAUAUCAUACGAGGACUAAAGGAUCAUUCAACAUCCAUCCACAUCAUCAUCAAGUUAUGCAAUGCAAUAUAUUCGUGAAUUCUAAUGCAAAUAACCUAGUAUAUCUCAUGGCAUACGUGAUGCAUGUAUCAUGCUCAAAAUUUAUUUAUUUGCUUUGAAACGUGAAGAGUUAUUCCACUCACCUCUGGCUGAAGCUCUAAUGACUCUGAAGCAGCUAUCUCACUGCAGAGGUCCUCGGUUCCUCGGGUCCGAACC